GGUAAUAGUAUGUUUAAUGGAUGGGAUCUCAUCAUCUCGGCGGUACAGGGUGGGAUUCCGGUCAUAAUCAGAUGCGAACGAGCCCACAAUAUGAUUUGCAUAUUACGUAUGAAAAGCUACAGAUUAAAGAAUCUCAGACCAUGAGUCAAGAUAUGUGAAAAUUUACAGGCCAACCAGAUCUGAUCCAAUGGCAUCUUGCCACGUCGUGAAGGAGACUGGAGGAAAUAUUAGGUACACAACAGGAGCAGGUCCCCCAUAGCUGAGAUCUUCGUAGUUUUAGAGGCAGCAUUCAUUGUGUGCGAGGUA
Molecule: long non-coding RNA, 306 nt
Filed under: Carica papaya (papaya)
Lineage: Eukaryota; Viridiplantae; Streptophyta; Magnoliopsida; Brassicales; Caricaceae
Description: long non-coding RNA (CPAP_LNC010574)
Source: RNAcentral